Zingiber officinale is the source of this 948-nucleotide long non-coding RNA. RefSeq lists it as uncharacterized. NCBI's taxonomy places the organism in Eukaryota, Viridiplantae, Streptophyta, Magnoliopsida, Zingiberales, Zingiberaceae. The record is from RefSeq and is a predicted model, not a curated record. The transcript is spliced from 5 exons.
UUCUUCCCCAAUCGUCGUUUUCUCCUCUCCCAUCGCCGAAACCAUUCCGCGCCUUCUUCUUCUCCCGAUCCCUGCCCUAUCCGUUCCCCCUCUUUUCUUCUCCCCUCACCGGUGCCGCCCCAUUUCUUCUUCCCCUCCGUUGCCGAGCCGCGCACCGAUCACCGGCCACAGGAAGUCAGCGCCGACGCCUGUGCCCUAGCGCCCCGUCGACGCCCUCUUCCUCUCCACAGCCGACCGAUUUACUUUAAGCCUCCUUCCCUCUCUUCGCAGACACCCGGAGCCGCCGGAAGUCGAGCAUCUGAACCCUAGGUUGGGUCCCUGUGCGCCGGCUAAAGCUUUCCUUUCCUCGUGUCUCUGAUCGUCAACUACACUCCUCCAGUGGAUCCUUCUCAGCCGAGCCUUACUCUCGAUUAGUUGGAAUUGGCCGAGUAGUGCUUUACACAGGGUCUCCUUGCUGCCACAUUUGAGAGAUCAGCGGCUCUACUGUGGAUCCAAGCAUCACUGGUUGAGGAUGAUCCACAGCUUCGGCCCCAAGUUCCAGCAGCAAGAUCUGUGGUUGUGAGUUGGCAGGAAGAUAUUUAGAUUUAGGUUGUAAGGGGAAUUGCUUAUUAAGGUACUUGUGUGGAGGUUAGCGGCUCUACCUAGCUCCGACCAACAUUUCUAGCAGUAACUUCUCCGGCUGUGAGGACCACCUUCCGGCAGCAACCUUUUCGGCUGUGAAUUGAGUCUUUGUAGCUUGGCCAACACUGUUCACUGGCGAUCUACAACACCGGUUAUUCUGUUUGGGCAGGGAACCCCUUCGACCGUGAGCCAUCAGCGACCAUCCUAGAUUUGGAUGAGUUCUUAUGCAUUGGUUUAGGUUAGGUUGUUGUGAUGGAUUAUGCUUAUUGACUUUGACGCGAGACGAGUAUCUCGACGUUGGAUUUGACUGGAUUGUACCUUCCUAUU